Molecule: ribosomal RNA, 2046 nt
Filed under: Campylobacter jejuni
Lineage: Bacteria; Pseudomonadati; Campylobacterota; Epsilonproteobacteria; Campylobacterales; Campylobacteraceae
Description: bacterial LSU rRNA
Rfam family: Bacterial large subunit ribosomal RNA
Source: RNAcentral
GUAAGCUACUAAGAGCGAAUGGUGGAUGCCUUGACUGGUAAAGGCGAUGAAGGACGUACUAGACUGCGAUAAGCUACGGGGAGCUGUCAAGAAGCUUUGAUCCGUAGAUUUCCGAAUGGGGCAACCCAAUGUAUAGAGAUAUACAUUACCUAUAUAGGAGCGAACGAGGGGAAUUGAAACAUCUUAGUACCCUCAGGAAAAGAAAUCAAUAGAGAUUGCGUCAGUAGCGGCGAGCGAAAGCGCAAGAGGGCAAACCCAGUGCUUGCACUGGGGGUUGUAGGACUGCAAUGUGCAAGAGGUAAGUUUAGCAGAACAUUCUGGAAAGUAUAACCAUAGAGGGUGAUAGUCCCGUAUGCGAAAAACAAACCUUAGCUAGCAGUAUCCUGAGUAGGGCGGGACACGAGGAAUCCUGUCUGAAUCCGGGUCGACCACGAUCCAACCCUAAAUACUAAUACCAGAUCGAUAGUGCACAAGUACCGUGAGGGAAAGGUGAAAAGAACUGAGGUGAUCAGAGUGAAAUAGAACCUGAAACCAUUUGCUUACAAUCAUUCAGAGCCCUAUGUAGCAAUACAGGGUGAUGGACUGCCUUUUGCAUAAUGAGCCUGCGAGUUGUGGUGUCUGGCAAGGUUAAGCAAACGCGAAGCCGUAGCGAAAGCGAGUCUGAAUAGGGCGCUUAGUCAGAUGCUGCAGACCCGAAACGAAGUGAUCUAUCCAUGAGCAAGUUGAAGCUAGUGUAAGAACUAGUGGAGGACUGAACCCAUAGGCGUUGAAAAGCCCCGGGAUGACUUGUGGAUAGGGGUGAAAGGCCAAUCAAACUUCGUGAUAGCUGGUUCUCUCCGAAAUAUAUUUAGGUAUAGCGUUGUGUCGUAAUAUAAGGGGGUAGAGCACUGAAUGGGCUAGGGCAUACACCAAUGUACCAAACCCUAUCAAACUCCGAAUACCUUAUAUGUAAUCACAGCAGUCAGGCGGCGAGUGAUAAAAUCCGUCGUCAAGAGGGAAACAACCCAGACUACCAGCUAAGGUCCCUAAAUCUUACUUAAGUGGAAAACGAUGUGAAGUUACUUAAACAACCAGGAGGUUGGCUUAGAAGCAGCCAUCCUUUAAAGAAAGCGUAAUAGCUCACUGGUCUAGUGAUUUUGCGCGGAAAAUAUAACGGGGCUAAAGUAAGUACCGAAGCUGUAGACUUAGUUUACUAAGUGGUAGGAGAGCGUUCUAUUUGCGUCGAAGGUAUACCGGUAAGGAGUGCUGGAGCGAAUAGAAGUGAGCAUGCAGGCAUGAGUAGCGAUAAUUAAUGUGAGAAUCAUUAACGCCGUAAACCCAAGGUUUCCUACGCGAUGCUCGUCAUCGUAGGGUUAGUCGGGUCCUAAGUCGAGUCCGAAAGGGGUAGACGAUGGCAAAUUGGUUAAUAUUCCAAUACCAACAUUAGUGUGCGAUGGAAGGACGCUUAGGGCUAAGGGGGCUAGCGGAUGGAAGUGCUAGUCUAAGGUCGUAGGAGGUUAUAUAGGCAAAUCCGUAUAACAAUACUCCGAGAACUGAAAGGCUUUUUGAAGUCUUCGGAUGGAUAGAAGAACCCCUGAUGCCGUCGAGCCAAGAAAAGUUUCUAAGUUUAGCUAAUGUUGCCCGUACCGUAAACCGACACAGGUGGGUGGGAUGAGUAUUCUAAGGCGCGUGGAAGAACUCUCUUUAAGGAACUCUGCAAAAUAGCACCGUAUCUUCGGUAUAAGGUGUGGUUAGCUUUGUAUUAGGAUUUACUCCGAAAGCAAGGAAACUUACAACAAAGAGUCCCUCCCGACUGUUUACCAAAAACACAGCACUCUGCUAACUCGUAAGAGGAUGUAUAGGGUGUGACGCCUGCCCGGUGCUCGAAGGUUAAUUGAUGGGGUUAGCAUUAGCGAAGCUCUUGAUCGAAGCCCGAGUAAACGGCGGCCGUAACUAUAACGGUCCUAAGGUAGCGAAAUUCCUUGUCGGUUAAAUACCGACCUGCAUGAAUGGCGUAACGAGAUGGGAGCUGUCUCAAAGAGGGAUCCAGUGAAAUUGUAGUGGAGG